GUGCCAGCAGGCCGCGGUAAUACGGAGGGAUGCGAGCGUUAUCCGGAUUCAUUGGGUUUAAAGGGUGCGUAGGCGGGAUAAUAAGUCAGUGGUGAAAGUUUGCAGCUUAACUGUAAAAUUGCCGUUGAAACUGUUGUUCUUGAGAGUAGAUAAGGUAGGCGGAAUGUGUUGUGUAGCGGUGAAAUGCAUAGAUAUAACACAGAACCCCGAUUGCGAAGGCAGCUUACCGGGCUACAUCUGACGCUGAUGCACGAAAGCGUGGGGAUCAAACAGGAUUAGAUACCCUGGUAGUCCACGCAGUAAACGAUGAAUACUAGCUGUAUGCGAUAUACUGUAUGUGGCAAAGCGAAAGCAUUAAGUAUUCCACCUGGGGAGUACGUUCGCAAGAAUGAAACUCAAAGGAAUUGACGGGGGCCCGCACAAGCGGAGGAACAUGUGGUUUAAUUCGAUGAUACGCGAGGAACCUUACCCGGGCUUGAAAUGCAAUCGACGGUAGUGGAAACAUUACUUCCAGCAAUGGCGAUUGUGUAGGUGCUGCAUGGUUGUCGUCAGCUCGUGCCGUGAGGUGUCGGCUUAAGUGCCAUAACGAGCGCAACCCUUAUCAUUANUUGCCAUCGGGUCAUGCCGGGAACUCUAAUGAGACUGCCACCGUAAGGUGUGAAGAAAGUGGGGAUGACGUCCAAUCAGCACGGCCCUUACGU
This 701-nucleotide ribosomal RNA is filed under the name uncultured bacterium. RNAcentral describes it as "bacterial SSU rRNA". It matches the Rfam family "Bacterial small subunit ribosomal RNA", at positions 505 to 1207 of the family's 1533-position model. The record is from RNAcentral.